GACAGAGGGUGCAAACGUUGUUCGGAAUUACUGGGCGUAAAGCGCGUGUAGGCGGCCCUGCAAGUCGGAUGUGAAAUCCCACGGCUCAACCGUGGAAGUGCAUUCGAAACUGCAGGGCUAGAGUCCUGGAGAGGAAGGUGGAAUGCUUGGUGUAGAGGUGAAAUUCGUAGAUAUCAAGCGGAACACCGGUGGCGAAGGCGGCCUUCUGGACAGUGACAGACGCUGAGACGCGAAAGCGUGGGGAGCAAACAGG
RNAcentral lists this ribosomal RNA (253 nucleotides) under uncultured bacterium. RNAcentral describes it as "partial 16S ribosomal RNA". It matches the Rfam family "Bacterial small subunit ribosomal RNA", at positions 524 to 776 of the family's 1533-position model. The record is from RNAcentral.